CGAGGAUUUCAGAUCUACAAACCUUUUCACGAGUUACCUCUCCUAACUCCGUAGAUCUGAAGUCAAAGUUCGGUCUUCGUCAAACUCCGGCGAGCUUUUCCGGCGAAACCGUGGACUUCCGGCGAAAACCGACACCACCAUGGAGUUCCUCUCUUCGAGCUCUACGUCGUGGUGUGGUGGAUUGCAUGAAUCCGAUGUCGGCUCCGUCGUC
This 211-nucleotide long non-coding RNA is filed under the name Setaria viridis. RNAcentral's name for it is "long non-coding RNA (SVIR_LNC003363)". The record is from RNAcentral. Lineage: Eukaryota; Viridiplantae; Streptophyta; Magnoliopsida; Poales; Poaceae.